Molecule: long non-coding RNA, 1962 nt
Filed under: Takifugu rubripes (torafugu)
Lineage: Eukaryota; Metazoa; Chordata; Actinopteri; Tetraodontiformes; Tetraodontidae
Description: lncRNA (ENSTRUG00000026657.1)
Source: RNAcentral
AUGUUCUCUGACAGCGGGGCACCGGCACCUGGGGAGCAGAAGAGCUUCAAGCACCACACCCCGCACUUCAUCCCGUGGCUGCGCAACAGUCUGAAGCCCCAACACGACAGUGACCUGGGGCUUAACGGACCGUACAAAUCCGGCUCGGAGGCCCCCGGCCAUCUGACCCCGCUGGAGAGAGCCAAAGGCAUCGGACUCUUCUCCAUUCAGGGUAAAGAAAAGAAGAAGGGGGAGCUGCGUCUCAAUGGCGUGGGGAUGGCGAGGAUAUUGCCGGUGGUGCUGAGGGGGCACCACAUACUGCCCGGGGGCCUGGGGAAGCAGAAGCAAGACAGAGCUUCCAAGUGGAGCCAGCCUCCAGAGCUCCCCGCUGACCUGGUUGCAGGAGAUCUCCAGCAGGGUCUGAGCGACAACUCCACAUCUGCACCGGAGCACAACAGCAGCCUCCUCCAGGCACAGAACCACGGGACCGGCACCUCAACAUACGGACCGCUUGUGGGAGCCCCUCCUGCAGCCAGUCCAGAAGAUCCAGAACGUAAAGCAACUGAUGUGGAGGAACCCAAGGUGAAUGUGUGGGACUAUGGCAGCAGUACCAACUACCGCCAACGAGAGCUCCAUUCAUCCAGCUGGAUCGGUUCUGACCGCCGGGGACUAACAGAGCACAGCCUGACUUCCAGCUUCGGCCGCAUCCAGCAGAAGAGUAGGAAGUCCCAGAGCCAGAGAGACCUGAGGGAGCCACCUGUGGAGGGCCUCAGCAGGCCCCUCAACGGAGUCGUGCUCUCCACCGGAGUUUCGGAGAGAGGCUUCAACUGCGCGGCAACUCUCCGAGGCCCCAGGAAGCCCAGAACGAACUCGGAGUACGCUGGGAUCCUGGGCCCGAACCAGACACGUGUCCAAUGCAGACCGACCGCUGAUAGAGCGCUGCAAGUGAAGGAAGUGGGCUGCAGCGGGAAGGUGGUUAGAAAUCAGAUCAAGAGAGUGGUGGACAACCUGGAGCAGGUUCUUCGUGCGCUGAGGGACGUCCAGCAGGAAAUGAGAGAGGUGGUGCAGCAGAUCGAUUUCCUGACCUCGUCUAUCGACGUGAGCGACGACGAGCAGCAGAGCGCCGCAGGAGGCGACGGCGCCGACAGCUCCCCCUCAGGUUCCAGUUCCAGCGUGGCGACGGUGGGCGGUUUCCGUCGGAGGCCCUCGGAGCUCGGAGACAAGCCGAGUGCCGCGGGUUCAUCCGGCCGAAGAGACCAUCACCGCAGGAGCGUUUCGCCACCAAACGCGCUCCUCAGCGCGGUCGCGUCUGGGCUUUCGCCAGACAGGGUUUUGAGUCUUCGCUUCACCUCCCAAGCGGCGCCGCUGCGGCCCGGCGGCAGCCUCCGUUCCUCCAGUCCUCCUCAGUUGGAAGCCGAUCUGGACUUUAAUCCAGCUCCCCAGAAGAGCCUCCCCGUCCGCCCCCCCACUCCUGGUCUAUCGCCUCUGACGGUGAACCUCCAUCACCCCAGCAGCCCCGGUUCUCGACCCCACUCCCCGGGGCCUUCCACCUCCAUCCGAGUCUCUCCGUCCUGCCCCCCGUCUCCAAAGAUUAAGCCACCCCCCACACUCUGCCCUUCUGUCAUCAUCGAGAACAAAAUCCGGCAUUACCAGAACCUGCAAAGUGACCACCCAUCUGUUGGUCAACCUUCGUCUCCGUGGCUUCAGCCUCCAUCUGCCUGCUGCCCACCCACCAACAUGGAAACUCAAUUUCCAGCUGGUGAUCACAGAGAGGAGCCGCCAUCCUCGGCACACCCUGUCAACGGACCGUUGCAGGGGCGUACGGGCCCCGUAUCCGCAAAGCCGUCGGCGGCACAAGGCGGCCGGGGACGCAAGCCGCCCCCGUACCCCCACCACAGACUCUCCGAGCAGGGGAAGAAAGAGGAACCCCGCAAAGCUCCCCCCUACCCCGAGAAGAGAAGGCUGCUCUCAACCACAGUGUGA